This 74-nucleotide transfer RNA is filed under the name Actinomycetota bacterium. Its description in RNAcentral is "Actinobacteria bacterium (freshwater metagenome) tRNA-Pro". It matches the Rfam family "tRNA". Rfam says of the family: Transfer RNA (tRNA) molecules are approximately 80 nucleotides in length. Their secondary structure includes four short double-helical elements and three loops (D, anti-codon, and T loops). Lineage: Bacteria; Bacillati; Actinomycetota. The record is from RNAcentral.
CGGGGAGUAGCGCAGCUCGGCAGCGCACCUGCUUUGGGAGCAGGAGGCCGGGGGUUCAAAUCCCCCCUCCCCGA